This is a long non-coding RNA of Oryza brachyantha (malo sina), 593 nucleotides long. RefSeq lists it as uncharacterized. The transcript is spliced from 3 exons. The record is from RefSeq and is a predicted model, not a curated record. NCBI's taxonomy places the organism in Eukaryota, Viridiplantae, Streptophyta, Magnoliopsida, Poales, Poaceae.
UGAGCGCCGCCAACGGCGCGCGCCAUGAUCGUCGCGCGCAGGGCCUUCGGUUAGGGCUCCCCCGGCCGCGGAUCCCUCCUUGAACCUCUUCUGCGUCUCCGUCAUGCAUGGCCAUGAGUCUGCUCAUGUUGGUUGGUGGCCCGCCUAAUAUAUGGCGCUCCGCCAUGGAGGCGCUGCCCGUGAGGCCGUAGCAGAGUGGUGAUGGAGGAGGCGCCGCCAAGCCGCAUCGCCGUGACAGCGCCGCCGUCAGAAAUGGAUAUUGCCUUAUCUAACAAUUUGGCUAAGCGAAGGGGAAACUGCUACAAGCUAUAUGAGUAGAAGCUUCACAUUUCUGAUUUCUGAAGAGUAUCAGCUUGUUUAACAUACUUGCAGCUUCCUCAACACCUAAUACAUUUUUAAUUCUCUAUAGCUAUGAGCUCUAUUUUGCCAUUGUCACCAUGCCUUAUCAGUCCAUCACUAGUUGGUCUAGUGAUUGUACUCACUACUCGCUAUGCUAAUUUAUCUUUGUGAUAUUCUGCUAAGUGCUGUACAUGUUCGUAUCCUGGCAAUGAGGCUACGAGCCAUGACUGCAUGACCAUUUUGUCAAUGUUGUU